UACGGGGGGAGCAAGCGUUGUUCGGAUUUACUGGGCGUAAAGGGCGCGUAGGCGGUCGUGACAAGUCACUUGUGAAAUCUCCGGGCUUAACUCGGAACGGUCAAGUGAUACUGUCGGACUAGAGUACAGAAGGGGCAACUGGAAUUCUCGGUGUAGCGGUGAAAUGCGUAGAUAUCGAGAGGAACACCUGCGGCGAAGGCGGCUCACUGGCCCGAUACUGACGCUGAGGCACGAAAGCGUGGGGAGCAAACAGG
This 254-nucleotide ribosomal RNA is filed under the name uncultured bacterium. RNAcentral describes it as "partial 16S ribosomal RNA". It matches the Rfam family "Bacterial small subunit ribosomal RNA", at positions 524 to 776 of the family's 1533-position model. The record is from RNAcentral.